UACGGAGGGUGCAAGCGUUAUCCGGAUUCACUGGGUUUAAAGGGUGCGUAGGUGGGCAGGUAAGUCAGUGGUGAAAUCUCCGGGCUUAACUCGGAAACUGCCAUUGAUACUAUCUGUCUUGAAUACCGUGGAGGUCAGCGGAAUAUGUCAUGUAGCGGUGAAAUGCUUAGAUAUGACAUAGAACACCAAUUGCGAAGGCAGCUCACUACGCGAAUAUUGACACUGAGGCACGAAAGCGUGGGGAUCAAACAGG
This 253-nucleotide ribosomal RNA is filed under the name uncultured bacterium. RNAcentral describes it as "partial 16S ribosomal RNA". It matches the Rfam family "Bacterial small subunit ribosomal RNA", at positions 524 to 776 of the family's 1533-position model. The record is from RNAcentral.